This 527-nucleotide ribosomal RNA is filed under the name uncultured bacterium. Its description in RNAcentral is "bacterial SSU rRNA". It matches the Rfam family "Bacterial small subunit ribosomal RNA", at positions 777 to 1304 of the family's 1533-position model. The record is from RNAcentral.
AAUAGAUACCCCGGUAGUCCUGGCUGUAAACGAUGUCGACUAGAUCGUAGCGGCUUGACGCCGUUAUGGUCGAAGCAAAAGUGCUAAGUCGACCGCCUGGGAAGUACGGUCGCAAGGCUAAAACUCAAAGGAAUUGACGGGGGCUCACACAAGCGGCGGAGCAUGCGGAUUAAUUCGAUGCAACGCGAAGAACCUUACCAAGGCUUGACAUGAACCGGUAAGACCUGGAAACAGGUCCCCCACUUGUGGUCGGUUUACAGGUGGUGCAUGGUUGUCGUCAGCUCGUGUCGUGAGAUGUUGGGUUAAGUCCCGCAACGAGCGCAACCCUCGUUCUAUGUUGCCAGCACGUGAUGGUGGGGACUCAUAGGAGACUGCCGGGGUCAACUCGGAGGAAGGUGGGGAUGACGUCAAAUCAUCAUGCCCCUUAUGUCUUGGGCUUCACGCAUGCUACAAUGGCCAGUAUAAAGGGCUGCGAUACCGCGAGGUGGAGCGAAUCCCAAAAAACUGGUCUCAGUUCGGAUUGGGGU